Molecule: transfer RNA, 73 nt
Organism: Microbotryum lychnidis-dioicae p1A1 Lamole
Lineage: Eukaryota; Fungi; Basidiomycota; Microbotryomycetes; Microbotryales; Microbotryaceae
Rfam family: tRNA
About the family: Transfer RNA (tRNA) molecules are approximately 80 nucleotides in length. Their secondary structure includes four short double-helical elements and three loops (D, anti-codon, and T loops).
Source: Rfam
GGCCGGAUAGCUUAGUAGGUCAAAGCUUUUCCAAUCAGUGGAAGCGACCCAGGUUCGACUCCUGGUCCAGCCG